Molecule: long non-coding RNA, 933 nt
Organism: Podarcis muralis (Common wall lizard)
Lineage: Eukaryota; Metazoa; Chordata; Lepidosauria; Squamata; Lacertidae
Source: RefSeq, a predicted model, not a curated record
AUGCCCCACUGUGCUAUACCAUUUCCCAGGCCAUUGUCGCGUCUCCUCAGCUGCUGCAGAGGCUCAUGGGUUCCCGCCAGGCCAGCUCAUUCAAACUGGCCAAUCUGUGGCGGCCUAGGGGGCAUGGCUUGGGGAGCGGACCUGAGGGCAGCAGGCUUCACUCAGGUCCACUGGCCAUCUAUUUAUUCUGGCCAUCGCUGCACUCAGCAACCCUGCACUGUCACACUAUGACAGUUCAAACUGGCCCAGUAGCAAGAAUUCAGCCAUCUAAACACUCAGAAUACUACGUUUGUGUUCCCCUCAUGAAUCUGCAAAAAUUGGUGAUGAUUUUAUGUCCGUAAGCAUGAUUAUCUUGAAGACAAUACCUCCUUGCAUAUCUAUCUAUACAGAAUCUGAUGCACAUUCUUUCUGGAGGGAAUAGCCAUCAUGGCAGCUGGCUAAUGUGUUUCACAGUCGCCUGCCAUUCAGGCAGGGAGUGGAAGUUAUCCGUAAGAGACAAUUUCUGUGGCAAAACAGGCUUUGAGUUCUGGCCAAAUUCACUACACUUCCAGCCUGAUAUUAAAUUCAAGCAAACGUCAUGAUCUUCUUAAAAGUGUGAAGGAGGAAUUUCUGCUUCCAUCAUCCAUAAGAUACACACAGUGGGAGACUGAAAGGAUUCCCUCGGCACUUCAUAAAGGAACUCAACAUGAAUAUGGAAGGAAGCCAGGUUUCUGAAACCCCUGCUUUCUUCUUAAUCCUUUAAAAAGCUUUAUAGUAUUUUUUUAUUAUAAUAACAACAGAAAACUAUACUGAAUAAUAACUUAAUUAUCACCUAGUUUUAUGUUUGCAAUGUGACUAAAUGUCUAAAGACUACCAUGCUGUUCCCAGAAUUGUUCAGGGCCCUGUUGUUUUGUUAAUAUUUAUGUAACACCCUUUAAAAAGUGAGGCCUUUAA